Long non-coding RNA from Pseudopipra pipra, 323 nucleotides. RefSeq lists it as uncharacterized. The record is from RefSeq and is a predicted model, not a curated record. The transcript has 3 exons. NCBI's taxonomy places the organism in Eukaryota, Metazoa, Chordata, Aves, Passeriformes, Pipridae.
UGUAGUUCAUGGUGUUUGGUGUGUGGGGUUGAAGAAAAGGAGACAAGAUGUGACAUUGUUUUAGGCAAGGAAAAACAACACAAGAAAGAGGAUGCAGAAAAAAACUUUGCACCUUUCCCCCUGUAUGUUGGGAACAUGGAAACUGCUAGACUGGAUCCAAUUCAGAAUGCCAGUGAGUAUGGGAAAAGAGUUUGAUUUUGAGAGAAGAAAAAUACUAAUUCUCAUCCACUAUCAUGGAGUAAACAAUACGACGCACAACAUGCAGAUGCACAGCAGGCCAGAAUUUCAAUACUAGAAGACACCUUCUUUUUUUAUGAAAUAUA